UGAAGCUCUCAAAUAUCACUGUUGUGAAUACAGAGAGUGAAAACGAACUGUAACGUGCUACCCAAAUGUAAGUUUUACUCAUAUUUUGAUGUUAGGAUGGAUAGCUUGGAAAAAGUUGGAGGGUACGGCCUUUACUAUGAGGCAUCUAUGAAGGAUCAGGAAUGGAUGUAGACAAGGAACUAGUAAUGGAAAGUGUUAAUGCUGGAGCCUCUGGAAAACCAGAAAUGAGGCUGGGCACUCAGGAAGAAACAAAUGAAGGUGAUGCUAAUGAUUAAUACAUCAUUCAUCAGACUUCAUUCGUGAUCUCGAAGAGUGACGUCAGUCUUCCUUGGAAUAUGAAGAAAAUUUCUUUGGUUCUUCUUUUGCAUUUCUAUUUGAUUUAUUUUAUUUUAUUUUAUGUUUUUUGGUACAGAAAGUUCAUUACAAGUCCUGUCCAGCAACGUGCCUCUCCUGGCCCUAGAGUUCUUGGACACAGCCCAGGCCAAAGAGAAGGCCUUUCUCCCCAUGGUCAGCCACACGUUCCACAUGCGCACAGAGGAGUCUGAUGCCCCACAGGAGGGCGAUGACCUACCCAAGUCCUCAGCAAACACCAGCCAUCCCAAGCAGGGUGACAUUCCCAAGUCCCCAGAAGAAACCAUCCAGCCCAAGGAGGGUGACAUCCGCAAGUCCCCAGAAGAAACCAUCCAAUCCAAGAAGGAGGACCUCCCCAAGUCCUCAGAAGAAGCCAUCCAGCCCAAAGAGGGUGACAUCCCCAAGUCCUCAGCACAACUCAUCCAGCCCAAGCUGGGCAAUAUUC
This 796-nucleotide small RNA is filed under the name Pongo abelii (Sumatran orangutan). RNAcentral describes it as "processed transcript". The record is from RNAcentral. Lineage: Eukaryota; Metazoa; Chordata; Mammalia; Primates; Hominidae.